RNAcentral lists this long non-coding RNA (2222 nucleotides) under Eucalyptus grandis. Its description in RNAcentral is "long non-coding RNA (EGRA_LNC005287)". Lineage: Eukaryota; Viridiplantae; Streptophyta; Magnoliopsida; Myrtales; Myrtaceae. The record is from RNAcentral.
AUCCUUCUACCUUGGUCGAUUUUAUAAUGCGAUAUCCCAGGACUAGUAUCGCCGACCCUUUCAUUUAUUAAGCACAUGCGGAAGCAAUUAAAAUCCCCGGACAAUAAAACGAUGGGAUAGAAAAGCAGGGCCAUAUUUUUCAUAUUGAAAUUUAUAACCACACUUUUAUACAAACCACAAACCUUUUCAUUACUACUCACAUCAAAAUGGAGAUCUCAAAAGAAGACAGAAACUUAGAUGAACUAGGCCGUACUCAAGGCCCCUCUCAUAAUUGUCUUCUUCUUCCAAAAAUCCUUUUCUUCAGAUCUCACCUCCGAGUUCUCCUUCUCGGAUUCCUCCUCCUCAGCUCUUCAGCGGGGUCCUGAAAUGGUUUCCCCAAACUGGGAUGAGACUACGUCUCAGCGAGUUCUACCCCACUAAGCCCGAUUAGAUAAACUAUUAUACUAAAGGCUGCCUAAACACGCACAGGGCAGAGGACUUACCUUGGCCUCAGAUCUCACCUGCAAGUCAGUACAAUUCAUAAUAGGCACCCAAGCAAUCAUAUGACCGAUCGGAGCAUCGAUCAAAUCGACCUAGUCGAUUACAUGCCAAACAAAUCAAUCCCCACUGUGGGAUAUUUAAAAACUAGGCCACGUGUAUUCUCCAGGAUGACCUUCCCAGUCUCCGAGUCACGUGCCUCGAACCUUGGGCCCACGUGCAUUCUCUCAGGCGACCUUUUCGCCAAAGUGAUGCAUCAAGUCACCGAGACCACGUGCCCUUUUAGAUGCCCGGGCCCACGUGCAUUCUCUUAGGUGCAUCUCACCAAAGCGAUGCAUCAAUUCGCCGAGACCACGUGCCCUUUUAGAUGCCAUUCCGGAAUGCUGGACCCACGUGCAUUCUCUAAGGUACUCGCUUACCAAAGUGACGCAUCAGAUCACCGAGCCACGUGUCCUUUUAGAUGCCAAAUCCUGUCACCGAGCCACGUGCAUUCUCCAGGACGACAUACCGAGUCUCCGAGCCACGUGCAUUCUCUCAGGCGACCUUUUCGCCAAGGUGACAUAUUCAACCACUGAACUCACGUGCAUUCUCCAGGUGACAUUCCAAUUCACCGGGCACACGUGUCCUCUUUCAAGUGGUCACCAAAUCUACUUUCAACACCGAUAACCAAUGCCCAACGAUUUCUCAAUCAAAUAAUUAAAUCAACUCCACAAAGCAUUAUAGAUACUGAAUAACAUACUUGGCCAUUCACCAAUCGAUAAUUCAAUCUCAAUCGAUUCCAAUCAAUUUAGGGUAAAUCCCCAAAAUAUCACAAUUUAUUCAAUUCCAUACAACGUGGAGCUCAAAUAAAUAAACGGGCUGCGCCACGACGAUCGGCACGAGAUUUCGGUCGUCGGCCAUCAAAAUCUUAAUUUCUGAAAAAUAAUUAAUUUAUUUAUUAAUUUCGAAAAUUAAAUAAUUAUUAUUAAAAAUUCAAUUUAGCUCAAAAUAAAGCCCGAUUACAUAAAUGGACUUCACCACGGUCAUCAGCACAAUAUUCCGGUUCCGAGCCACCUCAGUUGAAUUUUUGAAAAAUAAAUAAUUAUUUAAUUUAAUUCCGAAAAUUAAUAUUUAAAUACAAAAAUAUCCACUUAGGCCCGAAAAGCCUAAUUGGAGCCCACUAAGGGUCGGGAAAAAUCCCGAGGCACUUCCAAUAAUUAGUAGACCACGUCUACUUGCUAAUUACACAAUCAAUUUAUCUAAAUCACAUCACAAUUGACUAAUAAUUGCUAAUUUAUUCUAAUCUAACAACCUAAAUAUAAUUAAUUAAAUCUAAACCAGCUUAAAGCAUAAUUAGCCACUAAUCCUGGAUUAGUGAGAUUACUCACCAAAUCGCUCGCAAAUCGGAUCAAUCCGACGGCGGCGACGCGAGGAACGAUUGUUCCCAAAGCACGGCUCGGGUUCGGGGCCGGGAAACGGUCCAAAAGCGGGCCCGAAGAUGCUGAAACCCACUACGUGGGUCUGCUGGACGGAGCCGAUCGGGCCUGCUCCGGCGGCUAGGGCGGCGAGGGAAAGCCGGCGGAGGGCGAGGGGGUUGCGGGGGAGGUCCGGCGGGGUUGGCGGUGGCCGGAGGUGGCCGGAGGUGGCCGGAGAUGGGCUGGUCGGAGCUGGAACAGAAGCGAACAGCAGCUGGGUCCGCUCGGGGGAAGCGCUGCAGCGAGCGACGGACGGCGGGAAGGCGGGCGCACGGGCGGGCGGCUGUCGCG